GACGAACGCUGGCGGCGUGCUUAACACAUGCAAGUCGAACGGAAAGGCCCUGCUUUUGUGGGGUGCUCGAGUGGUGAACGGGUGAGUAACACGUGAGUAACCUGCCCUUGACUUUGGGAUAACUUCAGGAAACUGGGGCUAAUACCGGAUAGGAGCUCCUGCUGCAUGGUGGGGGUUGGAAAGUUUCGGCGGUUGGGGAUGGACUCGCGGCUUAUCAGCUUGUUGGUGGGGUAGUGGCUUACCGAGGCUUUGACGGGUAGCCGGCCUGAGAGGGUGACCGGCCACAUUGGGACUGAGAUACGGCCCAGACUCCUACGGGAGGCAGCAGUGGGGAAUAUUGCACAAUGGGCGGAAGCCUGAUGCAGCAACGCCGCGUGCGGGAUGACGGCCUUCGGGUUGUAAACCGCUUUCGCCUGUGACGAAGCGUGAGUGACGGUAAUGGGUAAAGAAGCACCGGCUAACUACGUG
This 468-nucleotide ribosomal RNA is filed under the name uncultured bacterium. RNAcentral's name for it is "partial 16S ribosomal RNA". It matches the Rfam family "Bacterial small subunit ribosomal RNA", at positions 28 to 507 of the family's 1533-position model. The record is from RNAcentral.